Molecule: non-coding RNA, 3663 nt
Organism: Vicugna pacos (alpaca)
Lineage: Eukaryota; Metazoa; Chordata; Mammalia; Artiodactyla; Camelidae
Source: RefSeq, a predicted model, not a curated record
AGGACAUGCUCCAGAGUCAGAAGACAGGGAAAGGAGAAACAGGAAUCCUGGUGGAGUCUAAAGAUUGUCCUGUGAAGUGUGAUGGGACAGCCUCUUUUCAGCUUCCCUGGAAAUGGAGACAGAGAGGAUCAGUGGGUCUUGCCAAGGUCACAGGACUGGAAUACAGAGCCAUGCUGCUCCAGGACACUCAAGAUCAUCAGAAGGGGAAGAGCCAAGCAGAAAGGGAAGACACAGUAGCCACUGUCCUGAGGCUGCAGCAGUCAGGGACCAGGAUGGAGGAAGAGAACUGGGACAGAGGGCACGGUGCAGGCUCCACUCGCAUUCCUGCCCCUCUGGGACUUGGCAGGGGACCUGGGGAAAAAUGCCCCAACCCAUCCUGUGGGAGCCUUUGCCUUUGACCUAUUGGCCACCAUUUCUGCCCUUGUCACAUCAUGUGCCUCGUCCGGUCCAGGGUCCUCUGACCAGGCCUCCAGCAAACAGAAGCUCUUCGCCAUCCACACUUGCACCCCAGAGGACUAAGGGCUGUAUGCUGGGAGGUUGCCAAAGCAAGGGGCUCCAGCCUUCUAGGAGUUAACGACUCCUUCUCCCCAGCUGUCCUCCCUUUGGUGCUCCUCUUCCUCCCUCCUCCUGCUCGCAGCAGGCAGAGCCUGGACCUGGGAGCCAUGCCGCUGUGCUGUUGCCAGGGGAGCCGGGAGCCAGAUUUGAGCUAUGCAGGGAAAAGGCCCAGCCUGUCAAAGUGUCUGAGAUGAACCGCCGCCAUCCCCAUGCAGCUGGGCUCAGACGUGUCUCAGCUCUUGUUCUGUGCCUGAGAAUGGCGAAGCCCAGUAAGGUUCAAGGGCAAACUCACUAUUCAUUAGUCAGGGGUUCUUGACGUCCUGUCUCUCCCAGGGGUGGGUCCCCCCUCCCUUUUCCUCUCCCUUCUGUGAUACAUUCCUGGGUGCCUUUGGUGAGGACUGCAUACCUUCCUCCUCCUGCCCAGUUCCUCUCCAAAGGCCCCUGAAUAAACUGCCCCCAAGGAGACCAGGCAGGGCAGAGACAAUGGCCACAGGAAACCAUUCAGGCAGGACUCCACUCAUGCUGGCCUGCCCUCCACUCCCAGCACCGCUGCAGGCCCCACUCCCCUCCAACUCAGGGCACCUCUGGGCUAUUAUCCUACGCAGGCCUAGACAAGAGGAAGCCACUGGGCACUGCCCUUGGGACAACAGGCUGGUUCAAUGCCGUUCUCGGUGGGCUCCUUGGAUGCCUGCGUGGCCUGUAUCUCACACAGCUGGCUGUCUUAGUGCCUUUCCCUAUCAUCGUGUGUCUAUUUUAAGACACUCUCAAACACUCUUGGUUGGAAAGUGUGAAUUAUACAGUAUUUUUUGAAGUGUGGCAGUAUCAAAAUGUAAAAGGCACAUAUACUUGGAUACAAACAAAUUGCACUGCUAGGCAUUUACUCUAUGGUUAAUAUGUGGUUCCCAAAGAAAGAUGUAUAAGAAUGUUCAUCAGAGCAUUUCUUUUUAAGAAUGUAGAGAAAUGGAAAUGAACCUAUGGUCCAUUCAUACUGUGAAAUAAUACACACCUACAAAAAUUAAUGUGGUAGGUCUCUCUAUAUUAGCUGAUGUGGAAGGUUGGCCAGUAUAUAUUGUAGGGUGAAUAGAAUAAAUCGAGAACAGGCAAUAGAGUAUGAUCUUAUUUGUGUGUAUUUAAAAGUCAUAAGUAUGCUUAUAUAUGGAGAGAUUCUGGAAGUAUGUAUUAGAAGGCUGCCCCUGGGGAGUGAGGAGGGAUGGAUGCACUCUUCCAUUUUCUUUCCAUGCUCGUGGAAUACUUUUAUUCAGAAAUUUAAAAAGGCUAUUUUAUAUAGUAGGCUUAACUUCUGUUAACCAGUUUAGAGUAGAAGCUCCAAGAGGAUGGUGGUGAUGUUGCAAGAAAAAACAUCCCCCAAACUCUGCCUUUGGCCAUUUUCAGGCCUAACAGUCAUAUAUCAUCAUCGUCAUGGUUGUUGUUAUUGUUAAUUAAAAGCCUACUGUGUCCCAGUCUUAGUACCUUUGGGUCUGGCUUACAUGUAUGCCAUGAUUCCAGUUUCACAAUUCUGAAGAGCAGUUAAUUAGCUUGUCCAAGCUCCUUAGCAAGGAGGAGGUUGGAGGCUCCCAGUUUCACUGAGAGUAGACACAUUACCCCUCUAUCUUCAGGAGCAGCCUGUUUGAGGGGGCCCUUGGAAGGCCCAGCCAGGCUCCCCCACUCCCCCACUCCAGGUCAUGCCGCCCCCAUCUGCCUAAAUAAAGGUGUCAUUAUGCUGGGGGCUAGUGGGCCAGCAGGAGGAGUGGACAGGGCUGUGAAAGGCCCUAUUUGCAAAAGCAGCAUGUGGCCUGAGAGAGAUCUCAACACAGAAUGUGAAAUGCUUUUCCUUCCCUGUUUGCUUCACCCCAGAAAAAAGUGAAUAGCCCAGCAAGUGUCUCUGAGAGAGUGACAAUACAUGAGGCCCUUGGAGUGGGAGUCAUGUGUCCAGCUACACACAUGGCAGGCCUGGACCUAGCCACAGCCACCAGCAGAGCUCCACUGGGCUCCCAAUGAGAGAAGGAGGCACCAUGGACCUGGAUUGAGCAGCCACCCAGAGGGCCCUAGGAAAUCUGUAUGUGGGAGUGUCCCUGGGGCCUGGGCGGCUCCUACAGUCACCCCAAAUCAGCUGUGGGGUCUGCAGAGAGAGCAGGAAAGAAGAAUUUAAAAUGGAGCACACGUGGAGGUCUGAAGUGACUCCUCAUAACUUUAUGGGCUGUUCGUAUUAUUGUUACACUCAUUUUAGAGAUAGGGACAGUGAGGCCCAGAAAAGUCAAGUUGUAAGUCCCAAGCUAGUAAGUGCAAGAACUGAGAUUGAACACCAAGUCUCUUGGACUCUAAAGUCUGUUACUCCAAACCCCAAAGAGAUCCUGUUUUGGCUUGGCCACUUGGCCACUCCCAAAAAGGGAGGUCCCCAAAGCUGCAACCCAUCUUUGCCAACCCCAUUCAUAGAGACAUUAACCCUUCCUCUAAGGUCACCUCCUCAAAUGGUCCUUUGCCUGGGGUCCUCCCACAGUUUUACCUAAUGUCAUCUGUCUCCUGCAGUGUGCCCGGCCCUGGACUGAGCAGUGGUGUGGUAGGGAGGAGGAUUCUAUAGCCUUUGUUUGGUUAGUAUAGCCUCUCCUCCGGAGUUGUCCAGGGGCAGUCAGGUUGUCCAGAUGGACUUCCUGGGGGUGGUGGCCUAGAGGCAAGGAUAUAGCCGGCUGGUUAAGACAAGCCUAAGUGAGCAUUGGGGUGGUGAGGACAGGCUCCUGGGAAGGCCUAAGGUCUCCACCUAGUGGGAAACGGAAUGUGGGGGUAGGUGGUAUCAGAGGGUCUAAAUGCCACAGCCUCCCAGUCCCCUGGCUGCAGGUCACCUGAACUUCUGCAGACUCUGCCCCUGUGCUUCCCAGAGGCUGGCCUGAUGGGGACCUCAGGGAAGGCUGAAGCUGCAGAAGCAGAGGUGGGAGAGCAGAGAUCUCGCUCAGGCAGCUGGAAUCACUGGGACUUUUCCAAGGCCAGUGGGUCCCUCUGGAUUGUCCCGAGGGAGGACUAGAGCAAGUUCUGAAAGAGAAAGGCCUCUUCCUAUCCUGUGAACCCCACCUCUCUCUUCCCUGCCCACAACAAAUAAAGUUUAUUUGCAAGGCC